UUUGACCGAGCCGAGGAGCAGGGGCCGGCCCUCGGGGCGGUCCUGGCCGUACGUCGCCAGCAGUGCCUGCGCCUC
Non-coding RNA from Streptomyces sp. Mg1, 75 nucleotides. It matches the Rfam family "ASpks TB sRNA". Lineage: Bacteria; Bacillati; Actinomycetota; Actinomycetes; Kitasatosporales; Streptomycetaceae. The record is from Rfam.